This 253-nucleotide ribosomal RNA is filed under the name uncultured microorganism. Its description in RNAcentral is "partial 16S ribosomal RNA". It matches the Rfam family "Bacterial small subunit ribosomal RNA", at positions 524 to 776 of the family's 1533-position model. The record is from RNAcentral.
UACGUAGGGUGCGAGCGUUAAUCGGAAUUACUGGGCGUAAAGCGUGCGCAGGCGGUCAUUUAAGACAGUUGUGAAAUCCCCGGGCUCAACCUAGGAACUGCAUCUGUGACUGGAGUGCUGGAGUACGGUAGAGGGGGAUGGAAUUCCGGGUGUAGCAGUGAAAUGCGUAGAGAUCAGGAGGAACACCGAUGGCGAAGGCAGCCCCCUGGGCCGGUACUGACGCUCAUGCACGAAAGCGUGGGGAGCAAACAGG